AGAGUUUGAUCCUGGCUCAGGGUGAACGCUGGCGGCGUGCCUAACACAUGCAAGUCGAGCGGGUACCCGCAAGGGUACCAGCGGCGCACGGGUGAGUAACACGUGGGUAAUCUACCCCUCGGAGGGGGAUAACCGGGGGAAACUCCGGCUAAUACCCCAUACGAUCCAACAACACAAGUUGUUGGAUGAAAGGAGCGUUUGCUCCGCCGAGGGAUGAGCCCGCGGCCCAUCAGGUAGUUGGUGGGGUAAUGGCCCACCAAGCCUACGACGGGUAGCCGGCCUGAGAGGGUGGUCGGCCACAAGGGCACUGAGACACGGGCCCUACUCCUACGGGAGGCAGCAGUGGGGAAUCUUGGACAAUGGGCGAAAGCCUGAUCCAGCGACGCCGCGUGGGGGAUGAAGCCCUUCGGGGUGUAAACCCCUGUUGCGAGGGAGGAAUAAGGCCUGGAGGAAAUGCCAGGCCGAUGACUGUACCUCGCGAGGAAGCCCCGGCUAACUACGUGCCAGCAGCCGCGGUAAUACGUAGGGGGCGAGCGUUACCCGGAUUCACUGGGCGUAAAGCGGGUGUAGGCGGCUCGGUAAGUCGGGUGUGAAAUCCCACAGCUCAACUGUGGAAUUGCGCCCAAAACUGCUGAGCUUGGGGCCGGUAGAGGGAGACGGAACUGCCGGUGUAGGGGUGAAAUCCGUAGAUAUCGGCAGGAACGCCGGUGGGGAAGCCGGUCUCCUGGGCCGCGCCCGACGCUGAGACCCGAAAGCUAGGGGAGCAAACCGGAUUAGAUACCCGGGUAGUCCUAGCCGUAAACGAUGCCCACUAGGUGUGGGGGAUUAAUUCCUCCGUGCUGUAGCUAACGCGUUAAGUGGGCCGCCUGGGGAGUACGCCCGCAAGGGUGAAACUCAAAUGAAUUGACGG
Molecule: ribosomal RNA, 910 nt
Filed under: uncultured Thermotoga sp.
Lineage: Bacteria; Thermotogati; Thermotogota; Thermotogae; Thermotogales; Thermotogaceae
Description: bacterial SSU rRNA
Rfam family: Bacterial small subunit ribosomal RNA
Source: RNAcentral